This 258-nucleotide ribosomal RNA is filed under the name uncultured bacterium. RNAcentral describes it as "partial 16S ribosomal RNA". It matches the Rfam family "Bacterial small subunit ribosomal RNA", at positions 96 to 354 of the family's 1533-position model. The record is from RNAcentral.
UGGCGGACGGGUGAGUAACGCGUGGAGAACCUGCCGUAUACUGGGGGAUAACACUUAGAAAUAGGUGCUAAUACCGCAUAAGCGCACAGCUUCGCAUGAAGCAGUGUGAAAAACUCCGGUGGUAUACGAUGGAUCCGCGUCUGAUUAGCUGGUUGGCGGGGUAAAGGCCCACCAAGGCGACGAUCAGUAGCCGGCCUGAGAGGGUGAACGGCCACAUUGGGACUGAGACACGGCCCAAACUCCUACGGAAGGCAGCAG